ACAGCUCACACCGAGGGCAGCCACAACCAUGGGACUGCCCUGACAGCCCUGCCCGGGCGGGAAACAGCAGCCAGCACUCGGACUCAAUGUCCUUGUGCUCCCUUCCAACUGAGGAUACUCCAUGAUUGUAUGAAAAACAAGUGUGGCUCUGUCACAGCCGUGUGUGGGCCAGGCCGGGAGCUCACCUGCACUGAACAGGCUGCAAGCAUUGCAGAGGAACGUGGGACUGCUGCUUGCUGCCCAAACGGCUCCUUCCCCUCCCUUUGAUCCAGCAGCUCAUUUAAAACAUUUCUGUCUGUCCUCUGAGUGCUUCAUUGUCAUCUCUGGCCAGUCCCCAGUCUGUCACUAAUUGGCACUGCUGUUGUCAGGCUUGGGAAUGAGGCCAGGGCCAGAAUGGGCAAGAAAAAUAAUCCCCUGCUCAUUCCCCAAAAAGGCUGGUUCUCAUUGGGAGCAUUGCUGAUACACACACAUGGCAAGGCUACAAAAAUCUGCUGCUGCCCCUGUUCUCUGGAAGCCCAGCUCGCUCUCGGGGGAUAUUGAUCUCAAUACGCGAUUUAAAAUGCAUUAAAUACAUUUUUUCUCUAUCUAUUUGAUAGAUAUAAUUAUGGUAGUCCCUAGAACAACAUGCCUGUUUGUAGACUGCCUUCAAAAUCAUCUAAUUUGUAUUGCCAGAUGGUAUGAAUGAUUGCUACAGAUAAACUUUGGAUACGUUCCAUUAUUAAUUGACAGAAGCAUGGUCACAGCAGAACGCUCAUCCCACACUGCCUAGCUGACAAUUAAUGGUUAAAAGAUGAAACUACUGAGGAAAAAAUGAGUCCCCUGAGUUCCAAGUCCCAUUUUAUAGCCUUGAGAACUAAAUUUAAAUAACCAAAAUGUAUUAUGCUUUCAGAUCUCUCUACCAACCUCCUUGCACUUGUGCAAUUCCCAGCCCUGCCAAUAGCUCUUUACAAACGAUGGGAUGCAGGCUUGGUGUGCCAUCCAGUGGGAUGGGAUGGGUGGAGUGUGACAGUCUUAUGGCAGGUUCAAGAAAUCACAGUUGUAACAAGCAAAUGUCUCCACUGAGGCUCACUGCAGAUGGCUGGUUUGGAGCUCAUCUUCCACAGAAAACACAAACGGAGCCAUUGCAACAAAGAGCACCAAAUGCUGGGUGUUGUAGACAUGAGACUUGCACUCAGAGCAAUGGUGAAGUCACCAGGAAAUGAGAAAACCUCAAAUCUAUGUGUUUUUGAACCCUGAUCUCAAAUGUUCAUGUCCUCAGUGAAUUAAGAAAAAGGUAAGAAAAAGCCAAGUAUUUACUGAUUAAAAUGUUCCAUUUUUCAAGCUAUUCUGCACAAUAUACACAGACAGAACCUUUUUUAAAAAAGGAGACAAGCUUUCUUAAAAGAAAUCCCCAGAUUUGGGAUAAAGAACAUUCACCAAUGACACAGACCUGAAAUACAAGUAGAUGAUGAAGGGUGUGCUAAGAUGUGAAAAGAGAAAAAGAAAUGCUUUUUAAGCUUCUUGACUUGCAAUGUUUUUUCCUCUUAGUACCUGCUGAACAGCAUGACAGAUCUUAGAAACAAUAUUUAUACUUAUAGCACAACUUUCAUCUGCAAACUCUUGCAUGUCAUACAGAUUUGCACACUCCUUUUCAUAAACACACAUCCUGAGCAUAAACAGCUGAAAAGGUAAAUAAAUUACUUCUCCUGAGGUAGGACAAAUGGCAGGCUGGCAGAGAACACCUAUAUGUGACCUAGAGACUGCUGUGAACAGGGCUGAAACUGCAGAAUGGGUUUUGCCGUGCCCUCCUGUACACAUGGAAUGGCUAUAAUGAUUUGCAGUGAUCACAAAUAUCCCAGUUCAAAAGCUGAGCUGUGGAUCCACAUCUUCAGUGAUGGUAGGACACUGAUUUGUAUGUGCAGGAGGUAAACAUGCCUGGCAAAAAAAACCCCAACUUGUGAAGGGCGCAGAUUUCCUUUUUGUUUUAUUUCAGGUCCAGCCUCAUGCUAUGCUCUGGUGUGUUUCUGACCUCGUUCCUCAGGCCUAGGCAUGGCUGCCUUUCCUCUGGCUGGUAUCUGUGGCAUAAACACAAAGGUGAUACCCACAGUCAGCAUCAGAUCUGACUGUUCCCGACAACUCCUGUGAUACAGCAACCUCAGGGACUCGAGGACACAUCUGCCCAUGAUGAUCCUCAAGGCUGACAGAUGAAGACACAUGCAUUGAGGAGAGACAGCGUCGGUGAUUAUGGAUCUUAUAACCCACUUGGGCCAUUAACUCUAGGAACUGUCAGUAUUCUGCCCCUUCCAGAAGGAAUUCACAGGUAAACAGAAAUUACUUGUUGAUUGGGCCUGCCAGCACCAGAAUACAGUUUCCAGGGAGACAUGAGCACUAGGAGGAAGGAUGGGAAGACACAGAGCACCUCUCUACUGUGUAGGCAUGGCACCUACCACAAAGCCGUGGUGUUAAACUUGGCACAAUCCAUGGAUGGAACUCCAGAGAACAAACUCUCUGAUCACAUCAGCAUGAAUAAAUAGAUGAGACCCUACCACCCAAACAGUGCAAAGAUGGACUAACCCUCACUCAUGACUGUGCACCAGAAAAUUGCUUUAUUCAUUCAUUCAAAAUCUUCUUCAGAACCUGUUCCUGGUCCCACAGAUACAGGGACACAGCAGUCCCAGCUGAUAAACCCAGCAGCAGCAGCACCUUGCCCCUCGGUCUCACCUCACGGCUCCAGGAAAAUUAAUGGGAAGCCUGAAUCAAGUCCUUUAAAAAUAAAAAGGAGAGCACAGCUCCAGGAAGCUGAUGGCAACAUUGAUAAUGAAAACACAGAAGACAUUUCAUUUAAGACAAGAACUCCAGCUUGCUUGGAACAGGAGGGAAUUCUGCCUGCUCGCUAUUCCUCUGUUCUCCCCCAUCACCUCCCGUGUACCAUCAGCUCCUUCUUUGCUCACACUCCCAGCCCUUUGUUCAGUCCUUAGAGCCGAGUCUGGGGAUGGGAGAUGGGGACAAGGGGGAACAGAGCUAGUGCCAGGUCUGACA
Long non-coding RNA from Passer domesticus (house sparrow), 3018 nucleotides. RefSeq lists it as uncharacterized. The transcript has 3 exons. Lineage: Eukaryota; Metazoa; Chordata; Aves; Passeriformes; Passeridae. The record is from RefSeq and is a predicted model, not a curated record.